This 126-nucleotide non-coding RNA is filed under the name Tetraselmis sp. GSL018. Lineage: Eukaryota; Viridiplantae; Chlorophyta; Chlorodendrophyceae; Chlorodendrales; Chlorodendraceae. The record is from RNAcentral.
GGGCGAAAGUCCCCGGGCGCCGAGGCAGAAAGUGCCAGCCCGCGAGGGCAGGGCCUCCCCGGGCCACCGUACGCGGGUCCGGCCGGGGAGCAACUCGCCAUAGCGACAGUCAUGUGGCCAGCGGGU